CGCGGUUAAAUAAAGAAAUAUCCUUCCGCCAAGCUUCGACUGAAAGAGUCCUUCGGGCCACCCACGUUCACUAAUAGCCUGAAGAUGAGGCUAAACGGGAAAACAAACAUUAUAGAGGUCGUGACGAGCCAUGACGUUUCUACUGCUGCCUCAGGUGGGCUGAGCCAUAAGCACUAAGUGCCGUCUGCGGUAUCGGCGGAAGGAUCCGCGGGAGUCUGAAGGAGUGAAGCGACCGCUUAUACGUGCAAUCCGCAGCGUACUCAGAUAUAGCACGGGGAGGGGGCACCUGUAGGGGGCUUCUGCGCGUGCGCGCAGCGACAAGGUGCACCUGCGGGGGCGCUGCAGACUGCCUUCUGCGCAGGCGCAGUCGGCACGGCAUCUGCCACCUGCUCGGGGGCCGCCUCUGCGCCUGCGCACGGAGGUCGGCCAUGCUGAGGAGAGCAGGAGGCUGCCAUGGCCACCAUCUUGUUUGUCAGCUUGGGGGCUGGGGGAGCGAGAAAGAGCUGGCUCCUGUGCGACAAGGACACGCACGUUUGGGGACAUAAAGUGGUAUAGAGGUUCGUUGAAGGUUUGGAAAGAUUUUGAGGUUUUCUAGUUGUAGUUGAGGUGGUUCAUGUAUGUAUAUCCAGAGGCAAAUGGUUUCUGUCUCCUCAGAUCCCUCAUUCCUGUCAUGGCAGACCGGCAUGCUCUUGUGAAAGGCUGUGGCCAAGGUCAUAAAACCUAGUAGUUUAACUGAAAAGAUGGUGAAGAGCAAGCAGGCUAUCUCAUGCCAUGAUCCAGGAAGACACACCGCUCAUCUUUCACCGCAGGACCUUCCUACUCAAUGAUAUGGGAGGAAAUGGCCAAAAAUGAUGGAAGACCCAAGGAAAAGGAACUACUGACUCAUCAAGUUUACUGGAAAUGGAGAUCGUUGGGCUUAUCUCUUCUCCUGGUUCCUCCCAUCACAAGAGACUCCUCAGGCCCCAAGUCCUCACCCAACAGCAGUUCUGCCACUGUCACAUCUAUUCCACCAUUUUCUGAAGAUGGUGCUGCUUGUGCUGAGUCGUGUUGUUGUUUGUUUUCUAAAAGGUUUUCCCACCAGUUUGCUGUGGGACUCUUCACUAACUUAUUCUCUGCUGCUACAUUCAAACACAUUCAUCUGCAAAACCUGAAGGGAUAAGAACUCCUUGCUCACCAUGAUGAGGGAGUUCCCAUCCUUGACACAGCAGAAAUCAGGCAGCACAAAUACAUGAGUAGCUUUAAGACCUCUUCAGUGGCUCCUAGCAAGGAAUGAUUGAAUUGUUAAGGUUGGAAAAGACCACAACGAUCACCUAGUUCAACCAUCACGGAGAUGAACCUAGUGUUAUGUAGCAUUUCCAGCAGGGAAAACAAAAGUGGAUAAUAUAAAUUGAGUCUAACUGAUAAACAACUACAUGCAGCCUGGAGGAAUGCUCAUUAGCAGUCACUGAAAUGAAGAACAAGCAAGUUUGCUUUUCAGAUUUAAAAGCAGCUUUAGAUAUUUGCAUGUGGACCAGCCCUACAAAAUACAACUUGUGAUACGAGCAUUCUGGUUUCCUUGACUGCUUCUUUCAUCCUGCCACUUACCAGCAGUCACUUAAACAGGAGCCAUGAGUAUUUAGAAGAGAGAAUUGGCUGUUUUAUGGACUGAUGUAUCCAGGCAUGGAAACAGGCACUGCAGUUGCUCAGAAGCUGAGGUGCAGCUGCGGGCUUGGAAGUGAUGCUCUUCCAGGCUCACCUCUCCUCCUACAUGUGCUGCGGCCACUUUCUCAACAGCAGCCAUCUGGGCCAACAGGAGCACUGGCCACUUCUGAGGGACACCAACUGGAUUCCAGUCUGAAGCCUGUCGCUGAUACUGGGGCUCCUAAUUCUGAUAUACUUUGUGGUAUUUAUCACCGUAAAACACUCAGCAAUUUCCUACUCCUCGCUGUAAAACUCCCUACAUCAAUUACAUGUCAGUAAAAUAAAUGAUCUUUUCCCUAACCAUCACUUUUCACAGUUGCAGAAGACUAAUGCCUAUUCUCCUAACACAAGAUUUUGGAAGUAGAAAUUCAUGCCUAAAGUUACAACAAUAGAUUUAAGCCAAAAUCUUGUCUCUAGUGAAAUCAGACGUUUCAUCCUUUAAUUUUUUAGGAAACUGCAUGUCAAUCCUGUCUUCUCCUUAAAGGAAGACUGUAAGCUGUCUUGUGUCUUACCUCUUCUCAACAGUAUAGAAAGUCAAAACUGAACUUCUCUUGCUUCUGAACAUGUAAUGCCCUUUACAGCACAACUACCAAACUGCAGUUCUUAAUGAAAAGAAAAAAAGAGGAAGCUACAUUUCCCCAUUUCCUUUACAGAAGAACUUGUGUUGUAGCAUAGGCUUCUGGUGCUGCUUCCAACUCUUAUUUCUUACACAUAAAUCAUCACAGAACCGAAUUUACAAUUUUAGU
Molecule: long non-coding RNA, 2426 nt
Organism: Numida meleagris (helmeted guineafowl)
Lineage: Eukaryota; Metazoa; Chordata; Aves; Galliformes; Numididae
Exons: 3
Source: RefSeq, a predicted model, not a curated record